This 294-nucleotide unclassified non-coding RNA is filed under the name plant metagenome. RNAcentral's name for it is "partial contains small subunit ribosomal RNA, internal transcribed spacer 1, and 5.8S ribosomal RNA". The record is from RNAcentral.
UUUCCGUAGGUGAACCUGCGGAAGGAUCAUUAUUGAAAUAAACCUGAUGGGUUGCUGCUGACUCUCUCGGGAGCAUGUGCACAUUUGUCAUCUUUAUGUCUCCACCUGUGCACCUUUUGUAGAUCUGGAUAUCUUUCUGAAUGCCUGCAUUCAGGUUUGAGGAUUGACUUGUCUUUCCUUACAUUUCCAGGCCUAUGUUUCUUCAUAUACACCAUGUAUGUUAUAGAAUGUAAUGAAAAGGGCCUUUGUGCCUACAAACUUAUACAACUUUCAGCAACGGAUCUCUUGGCUCUC